Molecule: non-coding RNA, 479 nt
Organism: Nelumbo nucifera (sacred lotus)
Lineage: Eukaryota; Viridiplantae; Streptophyta; Magnoliopsida; Proteales; Nelumbonaceae
Source: RefSeq, a predicted model, not a curated record
AUUGUUCUCCGCCGGACUUGUUGGUUAAACGUCACCGCAGAGCAGACGAAGAAGAACGCCGGAUUUGGCCACUAGGUGAUUUUGUGUACGAAGAGGAAGUUUUCACUCAUAAUCGUUAUGAAGGAAGGGGGUUUUCUUCGCUGUGACCAUAGAAGAACGCAAUUACGUCGCCAUCGCUUGAGAAGAAGUGUUUGCGCAAAUGGAAUAGCUUCUACCAGCACUUGAUUCUCAUUCCACAGUGCUUGGAGUCAUCUAUUGGAAGUGAAAGACUAUUGAUUAAUGGAUUAAGUGAUACCAUGGAAAAAAAUCAAGUGAAUGACUAGUGAUUACUGAAUAUAUAGAUGAGGAUGACUAGUGUAUUUCCCUUUGAUUUAAACUGAUAAUCAAAUCAAUCGUUGUAAACAAUGGGGAAGUGAAUGACUAGUGUAUUCCCCUUGGAUUCAAAUCGAUAAAGCAAUCGGUGCUUUACGUGUAGGUGA